Molecule: long non-coding RNA, 252 nt
Filed under: Capsicum annuum
Lineage: Eukaryota; Viridiplantae; Streptophyta; Magnoliopsida; Solanales; Solanaceae
Description: long non-coding RNA (CANN_LNC015925)
Source: RNAcentral
ACCAAGAUCCCCUCUCGUAAUCCAUCUAUGUCAGGAACACAUAACCUCCUUUGGUACAGUGAGGUACCAUCACCACUGACCUCAAAGGCCAUUACUUUCUGCCCACCUACGUGGCCUUGAUCCUCAUCAAGACAGGAUCCAACACUUGCUUCUCCUUCACCUCGGUACCCAGGGACGAUUGCGCCACCUUCUUCACAAACACACCACCAUCCUUAAAGUCCAAGAGGCGAACUUCAAGGUUAGCUAAGCGAU